UGUGCCGAGUGUCCUUGACCCACUGGGCCUGCCCAUGGAGAGAAUGCCAUGCACCACAGCAGGUGCUGGAGCCUGAGGCCCCAGGCCACAUAUCUCCAUCUGUGCGGCCCCCACCCUGGGCACCUCCAACAAGCCCAGGCUCUGCCAAGCCCCCACAAGAGAGGAACCAUAGUGACUGGACACAGACACGAGUCCUGGCAGAGAUGCUGAUGGGAGAGGAAGUGGUACCCUCUGCACCACCCCUGCCUGCAGGGCCCUCAAACAUGCCACAAGUGCUAAGAGGAGGAUCUGGGAUCCCAAACCAGACCCCAAGACUGGAAACCCUCACACACCAGAUCAACAGCUCCCUGAACCCCAGCCAGAGACAACCACAGCCCAGCGAGGACACACAGAGCCCUGGCCAAGGCCUCUCUUCUUAUUAAAGAUUGCCAGACUGGC
Molecule: long non-coding RNA, 438 nt
Filed under: Rattus norvegicus (Norway rat)
Lineage: Eukaryota; Metazoa; Chordata; Mammalia; Rodentia; Muridae
Description: long non-coding RNA NONRATT023306
Source: RNAcentral